Long non-coding RNA from Prunus dulcis (almond), 1089 nucleotides. RefSeq lists it as uncharacterized. The record is from RefSeq and is a predicted model, not a curated record. The transcript has 3 exons. NCBI's taxonomy places the organism in Eukaryota, Viridiplantae, Streptophyta, Magnoliopsida, Rosales, Rosaceae.
AACUUAAACUUGUCCGACUCCCACCGAACUAGUCGUUGGUUUGUCGACGGCAUCAAACAGUCGAACGACGGUGUUUUGAUGCGUCUUCUAACCCAAACCCAAAAUGAAUUCGUCGUCGUCAUCAAUCACAUAGAUAAAAGUCACAACUUUCUUUCCCUUUCCGGCUUUCCUUCCCUUCUUCUGGAUGCAUCAAACCCAUCGAAUUAUGAAUUUUUUGAAGUACGAAAGCAUAAGAUCCGAAGGGGAAAAAUAAAUAUGCAAAUAAGAGAAAUUCGUUUUAUUCUUUAUUUUUUUAUAUAAAGCUUUUGGCUUGGAUUUGAUUUGAUUGAUUCGGUGAAGCAAAGCAAAAAGAUAUUGGAGAAGAUUGGGUUGCGUGCAAAGCCAUCCUUGAGAGGGAAUACUUGGGUGGUUGACGCAAUGUACUUCUCAGUUCACCUUCAUCAAUCGCCAGCAUCAUUGCCGGAGGUGUGGGGGCUUGUUUUGCAACAGCUGCACCCAGCAAAGAAUGUUUUUUACGCGGGCAAGGUGAUUCGCCUGUGCACAUUUGUGAGCCUUGAAAAAAGCUAGAAGAAGCAACACGCUUUGAGAGACAUGGGCACAAGACUAGAGCUGGGAGAGGCAGUUUGAAGUUGACAUCAAAGCCUGAGGAUGAAGUUCUGAACCAAGGUGAGAGAAGUGAGAAUACUUGAAGCAUUGAACUUGAUCAUCAGAUCAGAGUAAUAGACAUCUUACUGAUCAAACACCCUUGAUUGAUAUAGAGGAAGCAUGAGGUUAACAUAUCAAAAUUUUGUACACCCACGGGAGGAGCUUCGGAAAUGGAAAUCCUGUACAGAUUUGGCUUUCCUUUCAGAUAGAUUGUUGUUUACCCAACGCCACGACACUCAUAAAGCUACGAUUUCAGCCGCAAACUAUCGAACUGACGUAGGCUUGUUUGCUUGUUUGCUUGUAUUUGUUCUUCUUUUUGGCCCCUCCUUUAUGCUUUUGUUCUUUUGUAUCUUUCUAGUUUUUCACCAUACUAGAGCAGGCAAGAGACAUACUUGUAUACGAAUAUGAUCGCUUAAUGAAAAUGUCUAACUUUCGUCCAUAGUC